Molecule: ribosomal RNA, 230 nt
Filed under: uncultured bacterium
Lineage: Bacteria
Description: partial 16S ribosomal RNA
Rfam family: Bacterial small subunit ribosomal RNA
Source: RNAcentral
GCGCAUGCAGGUGGUUUUGUUAAGUCAGAUGUGAAAGCCCGGGGCUCAACCUCGGAAUUGCAUUUGAAAACUGGCAAACUAGAGUACUGUAGAGGGGGUAGAAUUUCAGGUGUAGCGGUGAAAUGCGUAGAGAUCUGAAGGAAUACCGGUGGCGAAGGCGGCCCCCUGGACAGAUACUGACACUCAGAUGCGAAAGCGUGGGGAGCAACAGGAUUAGAUACCCUCGGUAG